UCUGGCUCCGUUCCGGGGUCCGAGUUGUAAUUUGUAGAGGAUGCUUCGGGCGCGGCACCGGUCUAAGUCCCUUGGAACAGGGCGUCAUAGAGGGUGAGGAUCCCGUAUGUGACCGGCGACCAAGUCCGUGUGAAGCCCCUUCGACGAGUCGAGUUGUUUGGGAAUGCAGCUCAAAAUGGGUGGUAAAUUUCAUCUAAAGCUAAAUACCGGCCAGAGACCGAUAGCGCACAAGUAGAGUGAUCGAAAGAUGAAAAGCACUUUGGAAAGAGAGUCAAAAAGUACGUGAAAUUGUUGAAAGGGAAGCGCUUGUAACCAGACCUGCCGUCGGGUGCUCAGCGGGCACUUGUGCCCGCCUAUUCACCCGCGAUCAGGCCAGCAUCGGUUUGGGCGGCCGGAUAAAGACUCGAGGAAUGUAGCUUCGCUUCGGGGAAGUGUUAUAGCCUCGGGUGCAAUACGGCCAGCCGGGACCGAGGACCGCGCUUCGGCUAGGAUGCUGGCGUAAUGGUUGCAAGCGACCCGUCUUGAAACACGGACCAAGGAGUCUAACAUCUAUGCGAGUGUUUGGGUGUCAAACCCAUGCGCGGAAUGAAAGUGAACGGAGGUGGGAACCCUCAAAAGGGCGCACCAUCGACCGAUCCGGAAGUUUACGGAUGGAUUUGAGUAUGAGCAUAGCUGUUGGGACCCGAAAGAUGGUGAACUAUGCCUGAAUAGGGUGAAGCCAGAGGAAACUCUGGUGGAGGCUCGCAGCGGUUCUGACGUGCAAAUCGAUCGUCAAAUUUGGGUAUAGGGGCGAAAGACUAAUCGAACCAUCUAGUAGCUGGUUCCUGCCGAAGUUUCGUAAGUCCUCCCGAGGAGCUCCCCUAAUAUAAGCCUAUACUAACAAUCUCAAUAGCCUCAGGAUAGCAGUAACGUUUUCAGUUUUAUGAGGUAAAGCGAAUGAUUAGAAGCCUUGGGGAUGAAACAUCCUUAACUUAUUCUCAAACUUUAAAUAUGUAAGAAGUCCUUGUUACUUAGUUGAACGUGGACAUUUGAAUGCACCGUUACUAGUGGGCCAUUUUUGGUAAGCAGAACUGGCGAUGCGGGAUGAACCGAACGUGGGGUUAAGGUGCCGGAAUGUACGCUCAUCAGACACCAGGGGGGAGACUUGUGGUGUCGGGCUGGAGGGGGGGGAGAGGCCCCCUCCAGCGUUAGUCUGCUCAGGGCGAGGUCUUUGACCUGUUAGGGGUCGGUGGUCGCUCCGCGAUGGCCUACCCUCCGCUGUCCCCUCCUGCGGGGGCAGCUCACAGAUCAAGCAAAGGCCGGCGGCAGGAUGCCGUUGGAGAUAUGAUCGGCCCCUGGAGG
This 1341-nucleotide ribosomal RNA is filed under the name Niebla homalea. Its description in RNAcentral is "partial large subunit ribosomal RNA". It matches the Rfam family "Eukaryotic large subunit ribosomal RNA", at positions 121 to 1433 of the family's 3401-position model. The record is from RNAcentral. Lineage: Eukaryota; Fungi; Ascomycota; Lecanoromycetes; Lecanorales; Ramalinaceae.